GACGAACGCUGGCGGCGUGCUUAACACAUGCAAGUCGAACGAUGAAGCCUUAGCUUUCUUUGGUGGAUUAGUGGCGAACGGGUGAGUAACACGUGAGCAACGUGCCCAGGACUCUGUAAUAACCGCUGGAAACCGUGGCUCAUACCGGAUAGGUGCCGAGGCCGCAUGUUCUUCGGUUGUAAAGUGUUUUCUUUUCUGGAUCGGCUCACGGCGUAUCAGCUUGUUGGUGGGUUAAUGGCCUACCAAGGUGACGAGGGGUAGCCGGCCUGGGAGGGUGACCGGGCACAGUGGGACUGAGACAGGGCCAGGAGUCCAACGGGAGGCAGCAGUGGAAAAUAGUGGACAAAGGGCGCAAGGCUGAUGGAGCAUCGCCGGGUGGGGGAUGACGGCCUUCAGGUUGUAAACAUCUUUUAGUAGGGAAGAAGCGCAAGUGAGGGUACCUGCAGAAAAAGCACCGGCUAACUACGU
RNAcentral lists this ribosomal RNA (468 nucleotides) under uncultured bacterium. RNAcentral describes it as "partial 16S ribosomal RNA". It matches the Rfam family "Bacterial small subunit ribosomal RNA", at positions 28 to 506 of the family's 1533-position model. The record is from RNAcentral.